UUAAGCGACUAAGCGUACACGGUGGAUGCCCUGGCAGUCAGAGGCGAUGAAGGACGUGCUAAUCUGCGAAAAGCGUCGGUAAGGUGAUAUGAACCGUUACAGCCGGCGAUGUCCGAAUGGGGAAACCCAGUGCAAUUCGUUGCACUAUCGUUAACUGAAUACAUAGGUUAACGAGGCGAACCGGGGGAACUGAAACAUCUAAGUACCCCGAGGAAAAGAAAUCAACCGAGAUUCCCCCAGUAGCGGCGAGCGAACGGGGAGCAGCCCAGAGUCUGAAUCAGCUUGUGUGUUAGUGGAACGGUCUGGAAAGUCCGACGGUACAGGGUGAUAGUCCCGUACACCAAAAUGCACAGGUUGUGAACUCGAAGAGUAGGGCGGGACACGUGGUAUCCUGUCUGAAUAUGGGGGGACCAUCCUCCAAGGCUAAAUACUCCUGACUGACCGAUAGUGAACCAGUACCGUGAGGGAAAGGCGAAAAGAACCCCGGCGAGGGGAGUGAAAAAGAACCUGAAACCGUGUACGUACAAGCAGUGGGAGCACCUUCGGGUGUGACUGCGUACCUUUUGUAUAAUGGGUCAGCGACUUAUAUUCUGUAGCAAGGUUAACCGUAUAGGGGAGCCGCAGGGAAACCGAGUCUUAACUGGGCGUUAAGUUGCAGGGUAUAGACCCGAAACCCGGUGAUCUAGCCAUGGGCAGGUUGAAGGUUGGGUAACACUAACUGGAGGACCGAACCGACUAAUGUUGAAAAAUUAGCGGAUGACUUGUGGCUGGGGGUGAAAGGCCAAUCAAACCGGGAGAUAGCUGGUUCUCCCCGAAAGCUAUUUAGGUAGCGCCUCGUGAACUCAUCUUCGGGGGUAGAGCACUGUUUCGGCUAGGGGGUCAUCCCGACUUACCAACCCGAUGCAAACUACGAAUACCGAAGAAUGUUAUCACGGGAGACACACGGCGGGUGCUAACGUCCGUCGUGAAGAGGGAAACAACCCAGACCGCCAGCUAAGGUCCCAAAGUCAUGGUUAAGUGGGAAACGAUGUGGGAAGGCACAGACAGCCAGGAUGUUGGCUUAGAAGCAGCCAUCAUUUAAAGAAAGCGUAAUAGCUCACUGGUCGAGUCGGCCUGCGCGGAAGAUGUAACGGGGCUAAACCAUGCACCGAAGCUGCGGCAGCGACACUAUGUGUUGUUGGGUAGGGGAGCGUUCUGUAAGCCUGCGAAGGUGACCUGUGAGGGUUGCUGGAGGUAUCAGAAGUGCGAAUGCUGACAUAAGUAACGAUAAAGCGGGUGAAAAGCCCGCUCGCCGGAAGACCAAGGGUUCCUGUCCAACGUUAAUCGGGGCAGGGUGAGUCGACCCCUAAGGCGAGGCCGAAAGGCGUAGUCGAUGGGAAACAGGUUAAUAUUCCUGUACUUGGUGUUACUGCGAAGGGGGGACGGAGAAGGCUAUGUUAGCCGGGCGACGGUUGUCCCGGUUUAAGCAUGUAGGCUGGUUGUCCAGGCAAAUCCGGAUAAUCAAGGCUGAGGUGUGAUGACGAGGCACUACGGUGCUGAAGUAACAAAUGCCCUGCUUCCAGGAAAAGCCUCUAAGCAUCAGGUAACACGAAAUCGUACCCCAAACCGACACAGGUGGUCAGGUAGAGAAUACCAAGGCGCUUGAGAGAACUCGGGUGAAGGAACUAGGCAAAAUGGUGCCGUAACUUCGGGAGAAGGCACGCUGGUGUGUAGGUGAAGUCCCUGCGGAUGGAGCUGAGACCAGUCGAAGAUACCAGCUGGCUGCAACUGUUUAUUAAAAACACAGCACUGUGCAAACACGAAAGUGGACGUAUACGGUGUGACGCCUGCCCGGUGCCGGAAGGUUAAUUGAUGGGGUUAUCCGUAAGGAGAAGCUCUUGAUCGAAGCCCCGGUAAACGGCGGCCGUAACUAUAACGGUCCUAAGGUAGCGAAAUUCCUUGUCGGGUAAGUUCCGACCUGCACGAAUGGCGUAAUGAUGGCCAGGCUGUCUCCACCCGAGACUCAGUGAAAUUGAACUCGCUGUGAAGAUGCAGUGUACCCGCGGCAAGACGGAAAGACCCCGUGAACCUUUACUAUAGCUUGACACUGAACAUUGAGCCUUGAUGUGUAGGAUAGGUGGGAGGCUUUGAAGCGUGGACGCCAGUCUGCGUGGAGCCAACCUUGAAAUACCACCCUUUAAUGUUUGAUGUUCUAACGUUGGCCCCUUAUCGGGGUUGCGGACAGUGUCUGGUGGGUAGUUUGACUGGGGCGGUCUCCUCCCAAAGCGUAACGGAGGAGCACGAAGGUUAGCUAAUCCUGGUCGGACAUCAGGAGGUUAGUGCAAUGGCAUAAGCUAGCUUGACUGCGAGCGUGACGGCGCGAGCAGGUGCGAAAGCAGGUCAUAGUGAUCCGGUGGUUCUGAAUGGAAGGGCCAUCGCUCAACGGAUAAAAGGUACUCCGGGGAUAACAGGCUGAUACCGCCCAAGAGUUCAUAUCGACGGCGGUGUUUGGCACCUCGAUGUCGGCUCAUCACAUCCUGGGGCUGAAGUAGGUCCCAAGGGUAUGGCUGUUCGCCAUUUAAAGUGGUACGCGAGCUGGGUUUAGAACGUCGUGAGACAGUUCGGUCCCUAUCUGCCGUGGGCGCUGGAGAAUUGAGGGGGGCUGCUCCUAGUACGAGAGGACCGGAGUGGACGCAUCACUGGUGUUCGGGUUGUCAUGCCAAUGGCACUGCCCGGUAGCUAAAUGCGGAAGAGAUAAGUGCUGAAAGCAUCUAAGCACGAAACUUGCCCCGAGAUGAGUUCUCCCUGAGACUUUAAGUCUCCUGAAGGAACGUUGAAGACGACGACGUUGAUAGGCCGGGUGUGUAAGCGCAGCGAUGCGUUGAGCUAACCGGUACUAAUGAACCGUGAGGCUUAACCUU
Molecule: ribosomal RNA, 2900 nt
Filed under: Klebsiella pneumoniae
Lineage: Bacteria; Pseudomonadati; Pseudomonadota; Gammaproteobacteria; Enterobacterales; Enterobacteriaceae
Also listed under: 1 other name
Description: bacterial LSU rRNA
Rfam family: Bacterial large subunit ribosomal RNA
Source: RNAcentral